UAGUUCUAACCCUAAACGAUGCUGACUAGCUAUUCGCCGUCGUUAUUCCCAUGACGUGGCGAGACGCCCCCGGGAAACCUCAAGUCUUUGAGUUCCGGGGGUAGUAUGGUUGCAAAACUGAAACUUAAAGGAAUUGACGGAAGGGCACCACCAGGAGUGGAGCCUGCGGCUUAAUUUGACUCAACACGGGAAACCUCACCAGGCCCGGACACCAGAAGGAUUGACAGAUUAAGAGCUCUUUCUCGAUUUGGUGGGUGGUGGUGCAUGGCCGUUCUUAGUUGGUGGAGUGAUUUGUCUGGUUAAUUCCGGUAACGAACGAGACUCUGGCCUACUAACUAGUGGAUGGGUGUCCUGGUAACGGGCCCCAUCCGAUAAUGUCUUCUUAGAGGGAUGAGCAGCGAGUAUAGCUGCAGGAGAUUGAGCAAUAACAGGUCU
This 435-nucleotide ribosomal RNA is filed under the name Synalpheus minus. RNAcentral describes it as "SSU rRNA". It matches the Rfam family "Eukaryotic small subunit ribosomal RNA", at positions 1021 to 1463 of the family's 1831-position model. Lineage: Eukaryota; Metazoa; Arthropoda; Malacostraca; Decapoda; Alpheidae. The record is from RNAcentral.